CUAUUAAUAGAGAAGAUUCACUCUUAUCAUGUUACAUACACAGCUCACGUUACAGUCCAGAACAGUCCUUAAAGCACAGAGAAAAUUAUUUUGGAGACUGCAGGAGUCAAAGAGAAAGAAAAGCAAAGAAAGGGCAGUCAUAUUCUAUCCCAGAAUUCUACAGAUCUGGCCCAUACGUGCAAACUGUCCUGACUUCCAAUAAGAAGUCCCUAGCUCUAGAUAUCCUAACCUUAUUUUUACAAAUCUAAAUUUCAGUUCCCCAC
Molecule: non-coding RNA, 263 nt
Organism: Pelobates cultripes (western spadefoot toad)
Lineage: Eukaryota; Metazoa; Chordata; Amphibia; Anura; Pelobatidae
Source: the annotation of a GenBank genome assembly